This is a long non-coding RNA of Sinocyclocheilus grahami, 931 nucleotides long. RefSeq lists it as uncharacterized. Lineage: Eukaryota; Metazoa; Chordata; Actinopteri; Cypriniformes; Cyprinidae. The record is from RefSeq and is a predicted model, not a curated record. The transcript is spliced from 5 exons.
CUCCUGUGCAGUCAAAUCAGUCCCUGUCUUCAUCCUUUGACUCCAGUGACUAGUGACAGGAUACACUCAUUAUUGAAGAAAGGUCCUCCAGUAAACGAAUGAGACCAGAUGAUGGAGCUAAAAGUACAUCACCACCAAGGAAGGUGAACGAAAACUAUGCCAGAUGAAUUGUGCCUUUGUUCCUGUACCUCUGUGUCCCCUUCUUCAAAAAUGGCUAAGAGCAUUACUAUGAUGUUGGUAAGAGUGCCACCGGAUACUUGCUAUGGAGAAUCAAAACUAUACAGAGAGGCAUUUCUAACGAGGAAUAUCAUUUGAAGGCCAGAAGAGACCAGGAAAGGUGUCUACGUCUCAAGUAGAGAUAUCUUCUAGAAGAGUGGAACAAGCAUUGAGGAGCAUCUUCAAGGCAUUGCUGGAAGUGCUCAGCCCUGUCACCUGGCUCUUGGAAGAAUUAUUCAGUUCAGCAGUACUUAAAUUUUGAUCAGCAUGCCAUUCCAUGCAAGUCAGUCUCUUCUCUUGAUGCUGUUGACAAACUGUUUAAUGGGGUUCAUUUACCCAAAUUCUGUCGACAUUUACUCACCCUCAUGUCGUUCCAAACCUGUAAGACUUUCGUUCAUCUUCAAAACACCAAUGAAGAUAUUUUAAUGAAAUCUGAGAGAUUUCUGUCCCUACAUUGACAGUCCACGCAACUAGCACAUUCAAGGCACAGAAUGGUAGUAAUGACAUUCAUUAAAGUAAUCCAUGUGACUCCAACUGGUUUAACCUCAAUUUUAUGCAUGCAUUCACACAAAGUCUGCUUUCAUUUCAACAAAACAUUCAUCUGUCGUCGUGCUCUCGUGUAUGCUUGUCAGAGAUGAAUAUUUUCAUAAAGUGGUAAAUUAUAAUUUUUUUCUUUGUGCAAACAAAGCACUCGUGUUGCUUAAUAAAACUGAAG